AGAUACAGCCUACGGGAGCAGCAGUAGGGAAUUUUCGUCAAUGGGCGCAAGCCUGAACGAGCGAUGCCGCGUGAGUGAAGAAGGCCUUCGGGUCGUAAAGCUCUGUUGCGGGGGAAAAAAGGCAGCAUCAGGAAAUGGGUGCUGACUGAUGGUGCCCCGCCAGAAAGUCACGGCUAACUACGUGCC
This 186-nucleotide ribosomal RNA is filed under the name uncultured bacterium. RNAcentral's name for it is "partial 16S ribosomal RNA". It matches the Rfam family "Bacterial small subunit ribosomal RNA", at positions 322 to 509 of the family's 1533-position model. The record is from RNAcentral.